Molecule: ribosomal RNA, 253 nt
Filed under: uncultured bacterium
Lineage: Bacteria
Description: partial 16S ribosomal RNA
Rfam family: Bacterial small subunit ribosomal RNA
Source: RNAcentral
UACGGGGGGGGCAAGCGUUGUUCGGAAUUACUGGGCGUAAAGGGCUCGUAGGCGGCCAACUAAGUCAGACGUGAAAUCCCUCAGCUUAACUGGGGAACUGCGUCUGAUACUGGAUGGCUUGAGUUUGGGAGAGGGAUGCGGAAUUCCAGGUGUAGCGGUGAAAUGCUUAGAUAUGACAUAGAACACCAAUUGCGAAGGCAGCUUACUACACAGUUAUUGACACUGAGGCACGAAAGCGUGGGGAUCAAACAGG